This 484-nucleotide ribosomal RNA is filed under the name uncultured bacterium. Its description in RNAcentral is "bacterial SSU rRNA". It matches the Rfam family "Bacterial small subunit ribosomal RNA", at positions 33 to 507 of the family's 1533-position model. The record is from RNAcentral.
GACGACGCUGGCGGCGUGGAUUAGGCAUGCAAGUCGAACGGUAUCAUCCUUUCGGGGGUGAGAGAGUGGCGAACUGGUGAGUAACACGUAGGUUAUCUACCCUCAAGACGGGACAACCCAGGGAAACUUGGGCUAAUACCGGAUGUGAGCAACUUUAGUUGUUUGAAAGGUGGCGUAAGCUGUCGCUUGGGGAUGAGCCUGCGUCCUAUUAGUUAGUUGGUGAGGUAACGGCUCACCUAGGCAAUGAUAGGUAGGCGGCCUUAACGGGUGGUCGCCCACACUGGGAUUGAGAUACGGCCCAGACUCCUACGGGAGGCAGCAGUCGAGAAUAGUCUACAAUGGUCGGAAGACUGAUAGUGCGACGCCGCGUGAACGAUGAAUCCCUUCGGGGUGUAAAGUUCUUUUAUAUGUGAGCAGUGCUUCUUAUAUUAACAGUAUGAGGAGAGAGAUAUUAGCAUAUGAAUAAGCAACGGCUAACUCCGUG